AUUGAACGCUGGCGGCAUGCUUUACACAUGCAAGUCGAACGGCAGCGCGGGCUUCGGCCUGGCGGCGAGUGGCGAACGGGUGAGUAAUGCAUCGGAACGUGCCCAGUAGUGGGGGAUAGCCCGGCGAAAGCCGGAUUAAUACCGCAUACGACCUGAGGGUGAAAGCGGGGGACCGAAAGGCCUCGCGCUAUUGGAGCGGCCGAUGUCGGAUUAGCUAGUUGGUGGGGUAAAGGCUUACCAAGGCGACGAUCCGUAGCUGGUCUGAGAGGACGACCAGCCACACUGGGACUGAGACACGGCCCAGACUCCUACGGGAGGCAGCAGUGGGGAAUUUUGGACAAUGGGGGCAACCUUGAUCCAGCUAUGCCGCGUGCGGGAAGAAGGCCUUCGGGUUGUAAACCGCUUUUGUUCGGGAAGAAAUCCUCUGGGCUAAUACCCCGGGGGGAUGACGGUACCGGAAGAAUAAGCACCGGCUAACUACGUG
RNAcentral lists this ribosomal RNA (484 nucleotides) under uncultured bacterium. RNAcentral's name for it is "partial 16S ribosomal RNA". It matches the Rfam family "Bacterial small subunit ribosomal RNA", at positions 28 to 507 of the family's 1533-position model. The record is from RNAcentral.